GCCCUCGUGGUCUAGCUGGAUAUGACGUCAGCCUGCGGAGCUGAAGAUCCCGAGUUCGAAUCUCGGCGAGGGCG
RNAcentral lists this transfer RNA (74 nucleotides) under archaeon. Its description in RNAcentral is "tRNA-Arg". It matches the Rfam family "tRNA". From Rfam's summary of the family: Transfer RNA (tRNA) molecules are approximately 80 nucleotides in length. Their secondary structure includes four short double-helical elements and three loops (D, anti-codon, and T loops). The record is from RNAcentral.